AUGAAAAUGGCUCCCUCUUUAGUGAGAUUAUACGAGCAAAUGCCUGAACCAAAAUACGUCAUUGCUAUGGGAGCCUAUACUAUUACAUGGGGAAUGUUCAGUAUGGAUUCCUAUAGUACUAUUUGGGGAGUUGAUAAGUUAAUUCCUGUGGAUGUCUACUUGCCGGGCUGCCCACCUAAACCAGAGGCUGUUAUAGAUGCCCUAACAAAACUUCGUAAGAAGAUAUCGCGAGAAAUAGUUGAGGAUCGAACUCUAUCUGAAAAUAAAAGAAGAUGUUUUACUACCAGUCACAAGCUUUAUGUUAGGCGCAGUACUCAUAUAGGAACUUAUGAGCAAGAAUUGCUCUAUCAAUCACCAUCUACAUUAGAUAUAUCUUCUGAAACUUUUUUCAAAUCCAAAAGUUCAGUACCUUCCAACAAAUUAGUGAAUUAG
RNAcentral lists this ribosomal RNA (432 nucleotides) under Triticum aestivum (bread wheat). Its description in RNAcentral is "partial small subunit ribosomal RNA". Lineage: Eukaryota; Viridiplantae; Streptophyta; Magnoliopsida; Poales; Poaceae. The record is from RNAcentral.